Molecule: ribosomal RNA, 454 nt
Filed under: uncultured prokaryote
Description: partial 16S ribosomal RNA
Source: RNAcentral
CCCUAUGGGGUGCAGCAGGUGAAACAGGUUGGUGGAGGAAGCCUGCUGGAUGGCAUGUCCAGCGUUGGGCAAAUUUUCAUGGGCAUCACAUUUGGCGCCUUGUUCAUUGGCCUGUACAUGACAGCACUGGUCGCCUUGAUUUCCCAGUUGAAUUGGGUCAAGGAUUUCAUCACCAGCUUGCUUUGAAAACUUGAGGAAUUCACGUGGCUCCAAACUUUUACUUGAGCGUUGACAUCGGCAGGAGCAAUACCCGCGUUUGGCUAUUUGAUGACGCCUAUGACGCAUACAGCUUGCGCGCUUCCGCCCAGUCGCCUUCCACGGUGGGCGAACGUACGGACGUACGGCUGGGUUUCAUUGCUGCCGUGGAGAAAAUCCAGGAUGAAACAGGCAUUAACCUCCUGGACCCGAGAAAACACCUGCUCAUCGAUUCAGAAGGAAGAAUUGGCGGGAGGGC